This is an RNA transcript of Pyrgilauda ruficollis (rufous-necked snowfinch), 4217 nucleotides long. It is a transcript of the gene named OX-2 membrane glycoprotein-like, with no coding region annotated. Lineage: Eukaryota; Metazoa; Chordata; Aves; Passeriformes; Passeridae. The record is from RefSeq and is a predicted model, not a curated record. The transcript is spliced from 7 exons.
UAGGGGGAAAGUUUCUUUGAAGUUAAGGGCGGUUUCCAGAAAGUGGUGGGGGGCGGUUUGUCCCGGGAGCGGCACAGCCUGUGGCUCAGGAGCCCGCCGAGCACCCGUGCCUGGAGUUGUGACCUAAAGGGACUUUCUUUCUGUGCCCGGUAUAGCUACACGGUAUAGCCUCGUUCCUCAUUGUGUGAAUUCUUGUAGCUACCCCGGCAAAGCAGAUUUUCUCUUCCAAAAUGACUUUACAAGCUCUGGUUUUGUGUUUGGCAUAUUCUGGGCUUGGAAAGGCAAAUGUGGUUCCUCAGGCUGGACACACAAUAGUGAGGAUGGGUGACAGUGUGACUCUGAGCUGUGCCCUGACAAAACCCAUGGAUGUUCUGCAAGUGACAUGGCAAAAGGACUCAGAAGAAUUACAUGAUAAUAUAGCUACGUACAGUGAAACGAACGGGUUAAGGAUUCAGAAGCCCUAUGAAGACAGAAUGAAUUUCACAAGUUUGGAACUCAACAAGACAAGCAUAACUUUUUGGGACACUAGAAUGGAUGAUUCAGGAUGUUACAAGUGUCUCUUCAAUGUUUUCCCUUCUGGUCCUGUCUCAGGAAAUACCUGCCUGAGUGUUUUUGGUCUCAAUGUAUCUGUCCAUCACAACAUUUCUGAAGGUCAUGUGAUAGUCAUCUGUAAUGCUAAUGGCCUCCCAGAGCCCACCAUCACCUGGAGCAACCUGUUCAAUUCUACUCCUACACAGAAGACAGUCAAGCACAAAAACGGGAUUGUGUCCAUCACCAGUAAACUGGAAAUCUACAAUAUUCAGAGCAUCAGUGCACAGGAUUUGAUCUGCAGAGUAAGCAACACAAAUGAAACAUUUGAAAUCCCGGUGAAAAUAAAAGGAGAAGAGGUAUCAUCAUUGCUUUGGCUGGUGAUUAUUGUGGUGCUUUUAGUAGUCAUCAUAGUUCUGAUUCUGAUGAUGCUGUUCUGGAGGAAGAUCCUGUGCAGGAGGAGUUGAAGUGCUGAGUCACCAAUGUGUGGAAACGUGGUUUUCCUAGAGCCCAUAAUAAGGAUCCCUGAGAAUUUCCAUCCAUCUACCAGAUCAUUAAAAGCUAGCAUCCUGAAGUCAGCAUUGCACAUAGUGACUUGACUGGCUGGAAAGAAGCAGCAAAAAAAGGAGAAGACAUCAUAUACACUGCCCUGUCUGGAAGCUGAGUUCAUCACUGAAAUGACUAACACAACAUUUGCUAUCUGGUCUAGGCCCUUAAUCUUAAAAUGUAGGACUGGAGGGACCACUUGGUCUGCUGUUCUGCAGAGCAGGAGAUUUUGUCAGGCAAAACCUUCUUUACCCAUGCCACUCUCUCUUGGUGCUGCUGCUGGCCAAAAUGUAUUUGUCUUCUUCCAGCUGAGUUUUGAAAAUGUCGAUGGGUAGAAGCUCUGCAGACUCUCUGGGGAUUCUCUUCCAGUGCCUAAUUGCUCUUGCAGUAGGGAGGGAUUUAAUUUUUGCCAACAUCUGUCUGCAAUUUCACUUGCAGCAACUCUUGAGUUCAUCACCCCCUUCCUGUCAUGGUUUUUCUUCUCUCAUCUUAGUUGUUAUGGCUCCUUUUUCUCUGGAAAGAUCUGCUGGACUCAAAAUCACAGGACUCGAACCACACAGCAUUUGGCAAAAUUAUGGGGAAGAGCAAUAGGUCUCCAAGCAGGUGACUAAAUAAAGGCAGUAGCAGCCACAAUUUGGAAAGAAGAAUUGUAAGUAAUUUGUAUAAUAUAUAAGUAAUUUACUUUAUUUGACUUUUUUCUAAUCCUAGAGUGUUUUCUUCUGUGUUUUCUGGGUUUUUUGGGAUGUGUUUGAUGAGGCUAAAUAUAUAAGUGAGGAGAAGGUGGUUACAAAGACCAGUAGUGGAAGCAUUGUCCCUAUCCUACUCUUUGCUCAGCUGUCAAAAGGCGUGGAUUUUGUCAAUAGUUUUUGUGCUCAUCUUAUGCACUGUUCCAGGUAGUCUUCCCUGUCUUCAUCCAUUUUUAAACACAGAUAAAUUGCUUAGUUGGCCAAAAGCCAUUAUUCCAUGGCUGGACCUCAUUGGGUGGGAUGUCACACACUGAGCUCACUGUCCCGUGUCACCACUGUGGCUGCAAUGAUAUCAGCUGGCAGUCUUACAGAGACUGAGCUUACUGAUUUGUCAUGCUGCUGGUAGCAGAUAAAGACACUGCACUAUUCUUAGGAGCUGGGACCUAAUUCUGCUCCUGUCCCAGGCUGGAUUGGAGCUUCUCUCCCACCGUCCCAAGCUGCUCAUCACUGCCAGCCCAAGCCUGCCAAUCCGGCCAUUCCCAGGCUCCAAGUUCCAGGUGCUUGGCCCCCUAUGGCUGGGCAGCAGCAGGCUGCUCAGGAGCGCGGAGCACUCCUGGGCAUUGCCCUGCAGCUCCUCAUCUUUGUGAGGGGUGGAAGGCUCCAGAUGCCUUCUGCCUUGUGCUUGUUUUGGUUGGGACAGAGUUAAUUUUCUUAACAGACAUUAGUAUGAGGCCGUUGUGGUUUGAAUUUAUUUUAUUGAUGCCUUGUGUUCUGUUGUACCCCCAUGUUCUCCCUGAGUUGGUUUACCCCUGGGUUUUACCCUCCCUCAAAGCUGUCCCUUAUACCAUUGCCUGCCCCUUGUUCCAGCUCUUUCCCUGCCCGUCAAGCCAACCCAGCCCUUGAUUCCCAAAGCUUUUCUGCCACUUAAACCUUGGGCCCAUCCCAUCCCUGUCUGCAACACCCCUUUGAAAUUCCGCUACUCCUGGAAGCGCCAUUGGCCCAUGUGACCCAUCCUCUCCACCCUCCUGCCCCAACUGGUCCCAGACGCUGGAUGUAAUCCCGUCACUCCUGCCCUGAGAAUUCCCUAUUGUUAGCUGUUAGUGUCCACCCCCUGACUUGUAUCUGAACAGAACUGCUUGCACAACCCUGUUGGAGGAUUUCUGUCCUGCUCCUUUGCGCUAAACGUUCCUUGUGGAAGCUCAGGACAGAGAGCCUCCUCCUUUCUCCUCUGCGUGGUCCCUGUCCUGGCUUGUGUCUGGCACCUUAGAGCAAGUGGCUCUGAAGGUUCUGCUCUGUUGAAUCCCCAUACCGAGACAGUUCCCCACUCCUGGCGUGGUGCCGGAGCUGUAAGCUGCCCGGGUUCUGGCAGCCCCUUCAUGAGGCUGUCCUUCUGGCUGUCCCCUUCCUUCCUGGUGGCUGUGCAGGCAGCUGAGUGGUGCUUAGUUGCUGGCUGGGGAUAAACCAUGGCAGCAUCUGAACACCUUCACGGGGCUCUGCGCCUGCCCCACUGGGCAAAGAUUGCUGAGUGCAAGUCUGCCCCUGGAUGUGCCUUCUCAGUGGCCCAUUUUUACUGACAGGACAGACAGAUGAGAGGACUGCAGGGGAUCCUCGGGUGAUUUUUUGUUCAGCUGAUGAGUGCUAGAGUUUAAGGUGUUUCUCAGUCUUGUUUCUGUUUGAAUGUUUGUCAUUGUAUCCGGAUCACUGACAGUAUUGUCUUUCCUUUUGGCUUUGAUGAGCAUUUGUUCAUGCAUCUGAAAUACUCCUUCAUACCAGAGUGCAUAGAAUUUUGGACUGUGCUUUUUAUGUCAUAUGUUUACUAAGGGUACCAACUGUCAAGCUGAAAAAUCAACAAUGGAGAUUUAAAACUUAGGACUCAGUGCUCAGAGCAGGUAUUUUGCUGGUUCUAGAGCUGUUGCCUGUACAGAGACUGGUAAAAACUUCAGUGUGUCUGUCUGCUUGAGUUACUGAGGAUGUGAGAGGUCGUGUUUGCUCUACUAUUGUAGAUGCAAUAUGAAUUAUUUAUUUGUACCUUUCACUUUUUCUAAUUUAAAGAAAAAAAAAAUCUGACCCAACCAAAACACCAACUGGUCCUUUUUUUUUUUUUUUGUCUACUUGUUUGAGAUACCAGAAAUGUGUCAUUGAAAGCUGUAGUAGUUUUGAUUUAUAUUUUGCUUCCUUCCUGAACAGAAAAUGGGAGUUCAUGGGGCUUUUAGGGUGUUUUGGGCUAAUUUUUCUUUUUAAAAGAAGGUUUUGAACAAAACUUUUGAGAUAAAUUUACAGAAGUAUUUUUGACCACAGCAGCUGAAGUUUAGUUCAGAUUUGAAAAUAACUUCAGUCAAUUAAAACAGUGUAUUCUGUAUUUUUACAAUUAUUGUCUGUGUCACGUGUGUUGCUUAAUUAUUUUUUAUCUAAAGUUAUGUGUUCUAUUGAUAUAUUGUCUGUCUUGUUUUCUGUAUU